RNA transcript from Neodiprion fabricii, 1029 nucleotides. RefSeq lists it as uncharacterized. The transcript is spliced from 3 exons. The record is from RefSeq and is a predicted model, not a curated record. Lineage: Eukaryota; Metazoa; Arthropoda; Insecta; Hymenoptera; Diprionidae.
UCAAUAUUUUUGAAAAGAAAAAUGCGUCCCGAGAAGUGAAAAUUAUCAAAAUUUCGUCAACUUAGGGGGCCCGAAACUGAAUAAAUGCGCGAAAAAUUUAACUUUCUAUGGCCAGAGUCGGAUUCCUUGAACACAAAAAUAUUUAAAACACAUGCUUUCUAAAAUAAAUAUUCACACGAGACAUCCAAAAACAUCGAAUUACUUUAUGACGACGUUUCGUGAUUUUUGGCAAUUAUGGCGCGGGUACGAUUGACGUCGCUGUGACGCGUUGGCAGUUAAAUGGUUCUAAAAUUUUUUUUGAAACGUUGCACAAAUAUACAACGUGUUUUUCGGUUUCAUAGUUAUAAUAAUAAACGUUUGAAUCAAUUGAUGACUCGAAGAAAAAGAGAGACUUUGCCUUGUUCUACGCGCACGAGUAAUAAAUAUUUUUUCUUCAUCCUUUGCUCUUUACGAUUCUAACAAUGUACGUUAAAGACGUAAUAACAGAGUGUAAUUGUUCCAUGGACCCAAUUAGGACUUUCCGGGUUCCCGAAAUCUCGGGAAAAACCGUUCCGAUUCGGAACCGGUUUGUAUCGGUUCAGGUUCUUUGUCGAUUCCGGAAUGGUCGGGAAACCCAGGAUUUUCAGGUCCGGUACGGUGAAUUACACGUUAUUGACCGUGUAGGCAACCGCGUGGGCUUCGUUCAACCGUAAAUCACGAUCAAGCAUCACUGCGUCCAUGGAAUUUCAACAAGUUCCAUCGCGUUCGCACGGAACCGUGGCGACACGAUGCGAUGGACGGAAAAAAGCGCGGGUAUUUCAAGAAGCCGAGUGGCGCGCGUCGCUCUGCGAACCGCUCGAUUCGAACGGGCUGAAAACGAAGACGCGUACUGAAACCGCACCUCACUGUUUGUUUCACAGGUGCGUAAUACGUGAAUUUCGGCAAUCUCCGUUAGACGCCGAGGAGAAGAAUAUUAAAUAUAGAUUAUAUCUUAAAAAAAAAAAUAAAUAAAUAAUCGAAUUGCACGUAAUAUUGCAGGUAUUAACAGAU